CCGGACUUCAUCAACGGCUGAACCUCUCCAACGGUAGAUUCCUACAACCACCAGAUUUCAUCCGGACACCUACGGGAGCCGGACCUCGUUCCCGACUCCGACUGUAGGCGGACUUCACCUGGACUUCUACGGGAGCCGGGCUCCGCCCACGACUUUGUUGGGAAAUGUGUCCCAAAAAGCCAAUCGUCAAGCUGUUGACGGUUGAGCAUUCAAGU
Molecule: long non-coding RNA, 215 nt
Filed under: Elaeis guineensis (African oil palm)
Lineage: Eukaryota; Viridiplantae; Streptophyta; Magnoliopsida; Arecales; Arecaceae
Description: long non-coding RNA (EGUI_LNC043315)
Source: RNAcentral